Molecule: ribosomal RNA, 463 nt
Filed under: uncultured bacterium
Lineage: Bacteria
Description: bacterial SSU rRNA
Rfam family: Bacterial small subunit ribosomal RNA
Source: RNAcentral
UACGGAAGGCAGCAGUGGGGAAUAUUGCACAAUGGGCGAAAGCCUGAUGCAGCUAUGCCGCGUGUAUGAAGAAGGCCUUAGGGUUGUAAAGUACUUUUCAUCGGGGAGGAAAAAACAAAACUAAUAAUUUUUAUUUCUUGACGUUACCCGAAAAAGAAGCACCGGCUAACUCCGUGCCAGCAGCCGCGGUAAUACGGAGGGUGCUAGCGUUAAUCAGAAUUACUGGGCGUAAAGAGCACGUAGGUGGUUUUUUUUAAGUCAGAUGUUGAAAUCCCUGGGCUUAACCUAGGAACUGCAUUUUGAAACUGAAAUACUAGAGUAUCGUAGAGGGAGGUAGAAUUCUAGGUGUAGCGGUGAAAUGCGUAAAUAUCUGGAGGAAUACCUGUGGCGAAAGCGGCCUCCUAAACGAAUACUGACACUGAGGGUGCGAAAGGCGUGGGGAGCGAAACAGGGAUUAGAUACC